UAACGAAUCUUCCGCAAUGCGCGAAAGCGUGACGGAGCAAUGCCGCGUGCAGGAUGAAGCCCUUCGGGGGUGUAAACUGCUGUCAGGUUUUAGCAAGAAAGUGAGCAAGACCAAAGGAAGAGACGACUAACUCUGUGCCAGCAGUCGCGGUAAUACAGAGGUCUCGAGCGUUCAACGGAUUCAUUGGGCUUAAAGCGUACGUAGGCGGAUGUGCAGGCGUCGUGUUGAAAGCCCUCGGCUCAACCGAGGAAUUGCACGGCGAACCGCACGUCUUGAGACAAGUAGGGGACGGUCGGAACGAUAGGUGGAGUGGUGAAAUGCGUUGAGUAUCUAUCGGAACGCCGAUGGUGAAGACGGACCGCUGGGCUUGUUCUGACGCUGAGGUACGAAAGCAUGGGGAGCGAACGGGAUUAGAUACCCCGGUAGUCCAUGCCGUAAACAUGUGCACUAGUUCGAGGAAGGUCUG
RNAcentral lists this ribosomal RNA (466 nucleotides) under uncultured bacterium. RNAcentral's name for it is "bacterial SSU rRNA". It matches the Rfam family "Bacterial small subunit ribosomal RNA", at positions 355 to 834 of the family's 1533-position model. The record is from RNAcentral.